AGAGCGAACGCUGGCGGCAGGCCUAAUACAUGCAAGUCGAACGGACCCUUCGGGGUUAGUGGCGGACGGGUGAGUAACACGUGGGAACGUGCCCUUUGGUUCGGAACAACUCAGGGAAACUUGAGCUAAUACCGAAUGUGCCCCCAUCCUUAAACAAGAUGGGUGGGAAAGAUUUAUCGCCAUUGGAGCGGCCCGCGUCUGAUUAGCUAGUUGGUGAGGUAAAGGCUCACCAAGGCGACGAUCAGUAGCUGGUCUGAGAGGAUGAUCAGCCACACUGGGACUGAGACACGGCCCAGACUCCUACGGGAGGCAGCAGUAGGGAAUCUUGCGCAAUGGGCGAAAGCCUGACGCAGCCAUGCCGCGUGAAUGAUGAAGGUCUUAGGAUUGUAAAAUUCUUUCAGCGGGGACGAUAAUGACGGUACCCGCAGAAGAACGCCCCGGCUAACUUCGCGCCAGCAGCCGC
RNAcentral lists this ribosomal RNA (463 nucleotides) under uncultured bacterium. Its description in RNAcentral is "SSU rRNA". It matches the Rfam family "Bacterial small subunit ribosomal RNA", at positions 26 to 518 of the family's 1533-position model. The record is from RNAcentral.